Haemonchus contortus (barber pole worm) is the source of this 78-nucleotide non-coding RNA. Lineage: Eukaryota; Metazoa; Nematoda; Chromadorea; Rhabditida; Trichostrongylidae. The record is from Rfam.
GACACAAGCUUGAAGUAGAGUAGAUUAGUAUGGUCAGCUAAUCCUACUAAUCUACCCUACUUCGAAUUAUUUGAGCCC